AGCAGCCGCGGUAAUUCCAGCUCCAAUAGCGUAUAUUAAAGUUGUUGCAGUUAAAAAGCUCGUAGUUGAAUUUCGGGAUCAAUUAAUCGGUCGUGCCUCUGGUACGUACUGGUUUUAUUGGUUCCUCCCUUCUGACGAAACACGAUGUCAUUAAUUUGGUGUCGUGGAGAAUCAGGACUGUUACCUUGAAAAAAUUAGAGUGUUUAUAGCAGGCUAACGCUUGAAUACAUUAGCAUGGAAUAAUGAAAUAGGACGUUCGACCCUAUUUUGUUGGUUUCUAGGAUCGACGUAAUGAUUAAUAGGGAUAGUUGGGGGCAUUAGUAUUCAAUUGUCAGAGGUGAAAUUCUUGGAUUUAUUGAAGACUAACUACUGCGAAAGCAUUUGCCAAGGAUGUUUUCAUUAAUCAAGAACGAAAGUUAGGGGAUCGAAGACGAUCAGAUACCGUCGUAGUCUUAACCAUAAACUAUGCCGACUAGGGAUCGGAUGAUGUUAAUUUUUAAUGACUCAUUCGGCGCCUUAC
RNAcentral lists this ribosomal RNA (520 nucleotides) under uncultured Glomus. RNAcentral's name for it is "SSU rRNA". It matches the Rfam family "Eukaryotic small subunit ribosomal RNA", at positions 569 to 1091 of the family's 1831-position model. Lineage: Eukaryota; Fungi; Glomeromycota; Glomeromycetes; Glomerales; Glomeraceae. The record is from RNAcentral.